UACGUAGGUGGCAAGCGUUGUCCGGAAUUAUUGGGCGUAAAGCGCGCGCAGGUGGGAAGAUAAGUCUGUCGUAAAAGAACAGAGCUCAACUCUGUUAAGCGAUGGAAACUGUCUUUCUUGAGUACAGGAGAGGAAAGUGGAAUUCCCAGUGUAGCGGUGAAAUGCGUAGAUAUUGGGAGGAACACCAGUGGCGAAGGCGGCUUUCUGGACUGUGUCUGACACUGAGGCGCGAAAGCUAGGGAAGUGAACGGGAUUAGAUACCCCGGUAAUCCUAGCCGUAAACGAUGGGUACUAGGUGUAGGAGGUAUCGAACCCUUCUGUGCCGGAGUUAACGCAAUAAGUACCCCGCCUGGGGAGUACGGCCGCAAGGUUGAA
Molecule: ribosomal RNA, 375 nt
Filed under: uncultured bacterium
Lineage: Bacteria
Description: bacterial SSU rRNA
Rfam family: Bacterial small subunit ribosomal RNA
Source: RNAcentral